GUCGAGCGGAACGAUGGUAGCUUGCUACCAGGCGUCGAGCGGCGGACGGGUGAGUAACACUUAGGAAUCUACCUAGUAGUGGGGGAUAGCUCGGGGAAACUCGAAUUAAUACCGCAUACGACCUACGGGAGAAAGGGGGCAGUUUACUGCUCUCGCUAUUAGAUGAGCCUAAGUCGGAUUAGCUAGAUGGUGGGGUAAAGGCCUACCAUGGCGACGAUCUGUAGCUGGUCUGAGAGGAUGAUCAGCCACACCGGGACUGAGACACGGCCCGGACUCCUAUGGGAGGCAGCAGUGGGGAAUAUUGGACAAUGGGCGACAGCCUGAUCCAGCCAUGCCGCGUGUGUGAAGAAGGCCUUUUGGUUGUAAAGCACUUUAAGCAGUGAAGAAGACUCCAUGGUUAAUACCCAUGGACGAUGACAUUAGCUGCAGAAUAAGCACCGGCUAACUCUGUGCCAGCAGCCGCGGUAAUACAGAGGGUGCAAGCGUUAAUCGGAAUUACUGGGCGUAAAGCGAGCGUAGGUGGCUUGAUAAGUCAGAUGUGAAAUCCCCGGGCUUAACCUGGGAACUGCAUCUGAAACUGUUAGGC
This 586-nucleotide ribosomal RNA is filed under the name Psychrobacter sp. LVBR_79. Its description in RNAcentral is "bacterial SSU rRNA". It matches the Rfam family "Bacterial small subunit ribosomal RNA", at positions 61 to 641 of the family's 1533-position model. Lineage: Bacteria; Pseudomonadati; Pseudomonadota; Gammaproteobacteria; Moraxellales; Moraxellaceae. The record is from RNAcentral.